GUCAAAGCUACUGACGGAAAAAAGAAAGGUCGUGUGCUUGGAACCAGAGCAAGUGAUCCAAUGCCAUUACCAAUUCCUGAUAAUAUGACGACUUUACAGAACACAACGACGAAUUAUAUAGAAAUUCAACAACAAAAAAGUAAAGAAGACUUUGAUCGGGCAGUUCAAGAGGCCAUUAGAAAACAGAUGCCGGAUAUACUAAAGGAACUAAGGGAAGACUUACGUCGAGAGACGAUUGAGGUAAUUAGCAUUUAUAUAUAAAUCAAUAUUCAUAUUUUCUUUGUAAUUUCAAUUUUUUUUACAUUAGGGUCAGUCGAGCCAAGGACACAACACCAUAAUCACGCCUAUUACAAGAGAUUCAAAUGUCGAAAAUAUUGGCAAGAGUCCAAGUAAAAGUCCGAGUAAAAGUGCGACGAAUAGCAUGACAAAC
This 430-nucleotide long non-coding RNA is filed under the name Zostera marina. Its description in RNAcentral is "long non-coding RNA (ZMAR_LNC000536)". The record is from RNAcentral. Lineage: Eukaryota; Viridiplantae; Streptophyta; Magnoliopsida; Alismatales; Zosteraceae.